RNAcentral lists this unclassified non-coding RNA (347 nucleotides) under fungal sp. RNAcentral's name for it is "partial internal transcribed spacer region". The stretch from base 1 to 46 matches the Rfam family "Eukaryotic small subunit ribosomal RNA", at positions 1786 to 1831 of the family's 1831-position model. The record is from RNAcentral. Lineage: Eukaryota; Fungi.
AAGUCGUAACAAGGUUUCCGUAGGUGAACCUGCGGAAGGAUCAUUAUUACGUUAUCCAACGUCAAACCCAAUUGUGAAAUGUUUAAAAAUCAGGGAUGAAGUGAGAAUAUUUGCGACAAAGAGUUUGUGACUUUUAUGGUGGUCUUUGUCGGUCCUAGUGACGCAAGUUACUAGCUCACUUUGUUUCUGUUAACUCCCAAUUCCCGUCAUAAACAAUUGCUAUUUUAAAUUUUAACCCCAAGUACAAAAUUGAACUAAAUUUUUUGGAUGUUUUUCUUCAGUGAAAAGCAUCUCAAAACAAACCGAAAUUAAGAAAACAACUCUUAACAACGGAUAUCUUGGUUCUC